AUACGGAGGGUGCAAGCGUUAUCCGGAAUCAUUGGGUUUAAAGGGUCCGUAGGCGGGCUAUUAAGUCAGGGGUGAAAUCCCACAGCUUAACUGUGGAACUGCCCUUGAUACUGUUGGUCUUGAGUUACAGUGAAGUGGUUAGAAUGUGUAGUGUAGCGGUGAAAUGCAUAGAGAUUACACAGAAUACCGAUUGCGAAGGCAGAUCACUAACUGUAUACUGACGCUAAUGGACGAAAGCGUGGGGAGCGAACAGGAUUAGAAACCCUUGUAGUCC
Molecule: ribosomal RNA, 274 nt
Filed under: uncultured bacterium
Lineage: Bacteria
Description: partial 16S ribosomal RNA
Rfam family: Bacterial small subunit ribosomal RNA
Source: RNAcentral